CAGGUCUUUUUUCCAGCUCCAGCUGUUGUAAUAGACUGGCACCAGUCACUAUAGUCCCAUCCAUCUACCCCAGCCUCCACAGCACGUGUUAGCUGUGCUCAACAAACUGUAAGGCAGUGGCCUUGAAGCUCAGUCUAUGCAGUGCCAUGAGCUUAAAAUUACACCUGACUGACAUCAAUAACACCCCCCCCCACUGCAGUGAGCAUGAGUGUCAUUCCGGCCUGUGAAAAGCUCUACGCUGCCUUUUCCUGAAUAGGUGGUGAUUGUUGGGUUGAAACUACAGCUGGAUGACGCUUCAAAAAAAAAGGGUGGAGGAUUGGCAGGAAACAGGUGGUCCACAAAGGACAACAGAUAUCGUUCAUGGAGAGGAAACCUCUGCGGGCACGAGGAGGUGUCACCUUAAAGUCUGGGUUUGCUGUCAUUAAUCAGUGACAAAAGAACAAUAACAAUGCCACAGGGACGGAAAAAAAGAGACAAUACCAGCAAUCACAGGCUGACAGUAGGUGGAUAAAUUGACUUUAGUGAUGAAUUUAAGAUUGUAUUGUUGCUAGGGCUCCAUAACUACCCAGCUGCGUUUAGAUCAGUCAUAUUGUAGUAUUGAGGUUGGUGUAUACUAUGCUGGAAUUGCACAAUCACAUGGCCCAGGUAUCCAGUACUCCAGAAUACGUCUAUGCCUUAAGGAGCAUAUUAGCAACUGACAGCUAACUUUUGUGACUGAACUGACUGAAUUGAUUUCUUUAUGUACCUCUAUGACAGCUGGGAUAGGCUCAGAAAAUGUGAGUGCAGCAUAAUUUGUUCUUUUAUCCCUCUGACUGAAUUAUUCGCACCCAGU
Molecule: long non-coding RNA, 832 nt
Organism: Archocentrus centrarchus (flier cichlid)
Lineage: Eukaryota; Metazoa; Chordata; Actinopteri; Cichliformes; Cichlidae
Exons: 5
Source: RefSeq, a predicted model, not a curated record